ACCUGGCUGGCUCAGUCAGUAGAGCAUGUGACUCUUGAUCUCCAGGUUAUGGGUUCAAGCCCCAAGUUGGGUG
Molecule: transfer RNA, 73 nt
Filed under: Ailuropoda melanoleuca (giant panda)
Lineage: Eukaryota; Metazoa; Chordata; Mammalia; Carnivora; Ursidae
Rfam family: tRNA
About the family: Transfer RNA (tRNA) molecules are approximately 80 nucleotides in length. Their secondary structure includes four short double-helical elements and three loops (D, anti-codon, and T loops). Further hydrogen bonds mediate the characteristic L-shaped molecular structure. tRNAs have two regions of fundamental functional importance: the anti-codon, which is responsible for specific mRNA codon recognition, and the 3' end, to which the tRNAs corresponding amino acid is attached (by aminoacyl-tRNA synthetases). tRNAs cope with the degeneracy of the genetic code in two manners: having more than one tRNA (with a specific anti-codon) for a particular amino acid; and 'wobble' base-pairing, i.e. permitting non-standard base-pairing at the 3rd anti-codon position.
Source: Rfam by way of RNAcentral